This 253-nucleotide ribosomal RNA is filed under the name uncultured bacterium. RNAcentral's name for it is "partial 16S ribosomal RNA". It matches the Rfam family "Bacterial small subunit ribosomal RNA", at positions 524 to 776 of the family's 1533-position model. The record is from RNAcentral.
UACAGAGGGUGCGAGCGUUAAUCGGAAUUACUGGGCGUAAAGCGCGCGUAGGCGGCUUUGCAAGUCGGGUGUGAAAUCCCCAGGCUUAACCUGGGAACUGCAUUCGAGACUGCAUUGCUAGAGUAUGGGAGAGGGAAGUGGAAUUUCCGGUGUAGCGGUGAAAUGCGUAGAUAUCGGAAGGAACAUCAGUGGCGAAAGCGGUCUGCUGGGCCGUUGCUGACGCUGAGGCGCGACAGCGUGGGGAGCAAACAGG